UACGUAGGGGGCGAGCGUUGUCCGGAUUUAUUGGGCGUAAAGAGCUCGUAGGCGGUUUGGCAAGUCGGGUGUGAAAACUCCGGGCUCAACUCGGAGACGCCACUCGAUACUGCCAUGACUCGAGUCCGGUAGGGGAGUGCGGAAUUCCUGGUGUAGCGGUGAAAUGCGCAGAUAUCGGGAAGAACACCCGUGGCGAAGGCGGCUCUCUGGAACGCAACUGACGCUGAGACGCGAAAGCGUGGGGAGCAAACAGG
Molecule: ribosomal RNA, 254 nt
Filed under: uncultured bacterium
Lineage: Bacteria
Description: partial 16S ribosomal RNA
Rfam family: Bacterial small subunit ribosomal RNA
Source: RNAcentral